RNAcentral lists this ribosomal RNA (253 nucleotides) under uncultured bacterium. RNAcentral's name for it is "partial 16S ribosomal RNA". It matches the Rfam family "Bacterial small subunit ribosomal RNA", at positions 524 to 776 of the family's 1533-position model. The record is from RNAcentral.
UACGUAGGGGGCAAGCGUUGUCCGGAUUUAUUGGGCGUAAAGAGCGUGUAGGCGGCUUGGUAGGUCCGCUGUGAAAACUCGAGGCUCAACCUCGAGAUGUCGGCGGAAACCACUUGGCUAGAGUCCGGAAGAGGAGAGUGGAAUUCCCGGUGUAGCGGUGAAAUGCGCAGAUAUCGGGAAGAACACCUAUGGCGAAGGCAGCUCUCUGGGCCGGUACUGACGCUGAGACGCGAAAGCGUGGGGAGCGAACAGG